CAGUAGCCGCGGUAAUACAGAGGGUGAGAGCGUUAAUCGGAUUUACUGGGCGUAAAGCGUGCGUAGGCGGCUUUUUAAGUCGGAUGUGAAAUCCCUGAGCUUAACUUAGGAAUUGCAUUCGAUACUGGGAAGCUAGAGUAUGGGAGAGGAUGGUAGAAUUCCAGGUGUAGCGGUGAAAUGCGUAGAGAUCUGGAGGAAUACCGAUGGCGAAGGCAGCCAUCUGGCCUAAUACUGACGCUGAGGUACGAAAGCAUGGGGAGCAAACAGGAUUAGAUACCCGUGUAGUCCCUGUCUCUUAUAC
Molecule: ribosomal RNA, 301 nt
Filed under: uncultured bacterium
Lineage: Bacteria
Description: partial 16S ribosomal RNA
Rfam family: Bacterial small subunit ribosomal RNA
Source: RNAcentral